GUCCACGGCCAUAACGGUGGGGGAAACACCCGUUCCCAUUCCGAACACGGAAGUUAAGCCCUGCCGUGUUGCUGGUUGUACUGUCCCGCAUGGGAUGGGAAGCCAGCAAGCCGUGGACA
Molecule: ribosomal RNA, 119 nt
Filed under: Nanobdellota archaeon
Lineage: Archaea; Nanobdellati; Nanobdellota
Source: RNAcentral